UACAGAGGUCUCAAGCGUUGUUCGGAUUCAUUGGGCGUACAGGGCGCGUAGGCUGCGGGGCAAGUCGGGUGUGAAAUCUCAGAGCUCAACUCUGAAACUGCACUCGAUACUGCUUUGCUUGAGGACUGGAGAGGAGAUUGGAAUUCACGGUGUAGCAGUGAAAUGCGUAGAUAUCGUGAGGAAGACCAGUGGCGAAGGCGGAUCUCUGGACAGUUCCUGACGCUGAGGCGCGAAGGCCAGGGGAGCAAACGGG
RNAcentral lists this ribosomal RNA (253 nucleotides) under uncultured bacterium. RNAcentral's name for it is "partial 16S ribosomal RNA". It matches the Rfam family "Bacterial small subunit ribosomal RNA", at positions 524 to 776 of the family's 1533-position model. The record is from RNAcentral.